GACAGAGGGUGCAAACGUUGUUCGGAUUUACUGGGCGUAAAGGGCGCGUAGGCGGCCACCGCAAGUCAAUUGUGAAAUCUCCGGGCUUAACUCGGAAAGGUCAACUGAUACUGCGGGGCUAGAGUGCGGAAGGGGCAACUGGAAUUCUCGGUGUAGCGGUGAAAUGCGUAGAUAUCGAGAGGAACACCUGCGGCGAAGGCGGGUUGCUGGGCCGACACUGACGCUGAUGCGCGAAAGCCAGGGGAGCGAACGGG
RNAcentral lists this ribosomal RNA (254 nucleotides) under uncultured bacterium. RNAcentral describes it as "partial 16S ribosomal RNA". It matches the Rfam family "Bacterial small subunit ribosomal RNA", at positions 524 to 776 of the family's 1533-position model. The record is from RNAcentral.